UUUCCGUAGGUGAACCUGCGGAAGGAUCAUUACAGUAGUCGCCCGGGUUGCCGCAAGGCAUCCCGGGUAACCUACCACCGUUUGGUUAUUACACUUUGUUGCUUUGGCGGGCCUGCCCUCGGGCUACUGGCUCCGGGCGGCGAGCGCUUGCCAGAGGAACUAAACUCUGUUUGUCUAUACUGUCUGAGUACUAUAUAAUAGUUAAAACUUUCAACAACGAAUCUCUUGGUUCUG
This 234-nucleotide unclassified non-coding RNA is filed under the name plant metagenome. RNAcentral describes it as "partial contains small subunit ribosomal RNA, internal transcribed spacer 1, and 5.8S ribosomal RNA". The record is from RNAcentral.